GGAUUAGAUACCCUGGUAGUCCACGCCGUAAACGAUGUGUACUUGAUGUAGAUUGGCUCAACCCGGUCUGUAUCGUAGCUAACGCGAUAAGUACACCGCCUGGGAAGUACGCCCGCAAGGGUUAAACCCAAAGGAAUUGACGGGGGCUCGCACAAGCAGUGGAGCAUGUGGUUUAAUUCGAUGAUACGCGAAGAACCUUACCUAGACUUGACAUGCAGUGGACCGGUGCAGAAAUGCACUUUCCCGAAAGGGCCGCUGUGCAGGUGCUGCAUGGCUGUCGUCAGCUCGUGCCG
This 293-nucleotide ribosomal RNA is filed under the name uncultured bacterium. RNAcentral describes it as "partial 16S ribosomal RNA". It matches the Rfam family "Bacterial small subunit ribosomal RNA", at positions 775 to 1067 of the family's 1533-position model. The record is from RNAcentral.